AAGACAGAACAGAAAACAGUAAGUACUGCUAAUCCUUACAUUCCGAGGUUAAAAUCCACGGCUGUCUUA
Molecule: transfer RNA, 69 nt
Filed under: Clypeobarbus pleuropholis
Lineage: Eukaryota; Metazoa; Chordata; Actinopteri; Cypriniformes; Cyprinidae
Description: tRNA-Ser
Source: RNAcentral